AGUGAACGCUGGCGGUAGGCCUAACACAUGCAAGUCGAACGGCAGCACAGUAAGAGCUUGCUCUUACGGGUGGCGAGUGGCGGACGGGUGAGGAAUACAUCGGAAUCUACUUUUUCGUGGGGGAUAACGUAGGGAAACUUACGCUAAUACCGCAUACGACCUACGGGUGAAAGCAGGGGAUCUUCGGACCUUGCGCGAUUGAAUGAGCCGAUGUCGGAUUAGCUAGUUGGCGGGGUAAAGGCCCACCAAGGCGACGAUCCGUAGCUGGUCUGAGAGGAUGAUCGGCCACACUGGAACUGAGACACGGUCCAGACUCCUACGGGAGGCAGCAGUGGGGAAUAUUGGACAAAGGGCGCAAGCCUGAUCCAGCCAUACCGCGUGGGUGAAGAAGGCCUUCGGGUUGUAAAGCCCUUUUGUUGGGAAGGAAAAGCAGCAGGUUAAUACCCCGCUGUUCUGACGGUACCCAAAGAAUAAGCACCGGCUAACUUCGUG
RNAcentral lists this ribosomal RNA (492 nucleotides) under uncultured bacterium. Its description in RNAcentral is "partial 16S ribosomal RNA". It matches the Rfam family "Bacterial small subunit ribosomal RNA", at positions 29 to 507 of the family's 1533-position model. The record is from RNAcentral.